Molecule: transfer RNA, 74 nt
Filed under: archaeon
Lineage: Archaea
Description: tRNA-Cys
Rfam family: tRNA
About the family: Transfer RNA (tRNA) molecules are approximately 80 nucleotides in length. Their secondary structure includes four short double-helical elements and three loops (D, anti-codon, and T loops). Further hydrogen bonds mediate the characteristic L-shaped molecular structure. tRNAs have two regions of fundamental functional importance: the anti-codon, which is responsible for specific mRNA codon recognition, and the 3' end, to which the tRNAs corresponding amino acid is attached (by aminoacyl-tRNA synthetases). tRNAs cope with the degeneracy of the genetic code in two manners: having more than one tRNA (with a specific anti-codon) for a particular amino acid; and 'wobble' base-pairing, i.e. permitting non-standard base-pairing at the 3rd anti-codon position.
Source: RNAcentral
GGACAGGUGCCGGAGUGGCCUAACGGGAUCGUCUGCAAAACGAUUUAUCGUGGGUUCGAAUCCCACCCUGUCCU